RNAcentral lists this long non-coding RNA (351 nucleotides) under Bos taurus (domestic cattle). Its description in RNAcentral is "long non-coding RNA NONBTAT018750". Lineage: Eukaryota; Metazoa; Chordata; Mammalia; Artiodactyla; Bovidae. The record is from RNAcentral.
AUUGUGGUGCUUGAUGCUCCUUGCAGUGAAUUGAUAUAACUAGUGCUUCUCAUAACUGAUUCUGUCUCUGCUUGCAUGACUAGUAAAUAACUGCCUUCCUAAAACCUUUUUUUUUUUCCCCACCAGAACUUACCAACAAGCUAAGAGAAUAUGAAGAUGUGAAUUUGUGAAAGGAGUAGUUCUCUCAUAGCCACAUAUAUUGUUACAGCCUCAUCAUUUGGGCCAUUUGAGUGUAGUAAUGAUCAGUAUUUAGAAAUAGCAUGAGAGGGAAGUAAACCAGGAAAGAUAAAACUCCUUAAUGUUUGUGUAUGAGAUGUUUCCAAAAAUGCUAAAUAAAUAUAGUUGCCAAGG